Molecule: ribosomal RNA, 370 nt
Filed under: uncultured bacterium
Lineage: Bacteria
Description: bacterial SSU rRNA
Rfam family: Bacterial small subunit ribosomal RNA
Source: RNAcentral
ACUUUCAGUCAGUGAGGAAGGUGGGUAUGUUAAUAGCAUACUCAUUUGACGUUUAGCUGCAGAAGAAGCACCGGCUAACUCCGUGCCAGCAGCCGCGGUAAUACGGAGGGUGCGAGCGUUAAUCGGAAUUACUGGGCGUAAAGCGCAUGCAGGUGGUUUGUUAAGUCAGAUGUGAAAGCCCGGGGCUCAACCUCGGAAUUGCAUUUGAAACUGGCAAACUAGAGUACUGUAGAGGGGGUAGAAUUUCAGGUGUAGCGGUGAAAUGCGUAGAGAUCUGAAGGAAUACCGGUGGCGAAGGCGGCCCCCUGGACAGAUACUGACACUCAGAUGCGAAAGCGUGGGGAGCAAACAGGAUUAGAUACCCUGGUAG